CUCCAACCACACACUUAGAAGCAACACUUAGAUGAAGCAACCAAGCUAUAUUAGACAAGCUAAUGAGACCAAGCCUUAUAUAACUCCUAAAAUCGCCACUCACUAGGAAUGUUUAACAUACACUGACAGACAUACUGACAGACACAGAUACAUACACUGGCAGACAUACUGACACAGACACAUACAUUGACACAGACAGACACAUACGCUGAGAGGCAUACUGACAUAAAUUUACACUUUUAAACCUCCAGGUGUUUUCUUUCUGUGUAGGUGUGCUUGGAACGUUUUCAGAUCUUUACAAGGUUCACAGGGCAUUCCAUUGUGGGAGUGUCUGAGUGUAUUGUACGUGUUUAUUGGUUGUUUUCCAAAACCCUAAUGUGUAAGAAUGUGUAUAUAAG
Pelobates cultripes (western spadefoot toad) is the source of this 398-nucleotide non-coding RNA. NCBI's taxonomy places the organism in Eukaryota, Metazoa, Chordata, Amphibia, Anura, Pelobatidae. The record is from the annotation of a GenBank genome assembly.